CCCUUAGAUGUUCUGGGCCGCACGCGCGCUACACUGUUCGACGCAGCGAGUCUUAACCUUGACCGAAAGGUUUGGGUAAUCUUCAGCAAAGUCGAACGUGAUGGGGAUCGAUCAUUGCAAUUAUUGAUCGUGAACGAGGAAUUCCUAGUAAGUGCAAGUCAUCAGCUUGCGCUGAUUACGUCCCUGCCCUUUGUAAACACCGCCCGUCGCUACUACCGAUUGAAUGGUUUAGUGAGAUCUCUGGAUUGACGCUGGCUAGGGGGCGACCCUUGGCCAGACUGUUGAGAAACUGCUCAAACUUGAUCAUUUAGAGGAAGUAAAAGUCGUAACA
This 331-nucleotide ribosomal RNA is filed under the name uncultured eukaryote. RNAcentral's name for it is "partial 18S ribosomal RNA". It matches the Rfam family "Eukaryotic small subunit ribosomal RNA", at positions 1470 to 1796 of the family's 1831-position model. The record is from RNAcentral.